GGCUGUACUGCUUACAAUCUAGGGACUGGACGAGGAACGUCUGUGCUAGAAAUGGUUGCAGCUUUUGAAAAAGCUUCCGGCAAGAAAAUACCUAUCAAGCUCUGUCCAAGAAGGGCGGGAGAUGCAACUGCAGUUUAUGCUUCAACAGAGAGAGCUGAGAAAGAACUUGGCUGGAAGU
Molecule: long non-coding RNA, 178 nt
Organism: Brassica oleracea var. oleracea
Lineage: Eukaryota; Viridiplantae; Streptophyta; Magnoliopsida; Brassicales; Brassicaceae
Exons: 2
Source: RefSeq, a predicted model, not a curated record